GAGGCUGUAGCUCAGUGGUAGAGCGCAUGCCUAACCUACACAAUGUCCUGGGUUCAAUCCUCAGCACCUCCA
Molecule: transfer RNA, 72 nt
Filed under: Camelus dromedarius (Arabian camel)
Lineage: Eukaryota; Metazoa; Chordata; Mammalia; Artiodactyla; Camelidae
Also listed under: 1 other name
Rfam family: tRNA
About the family: Transfer RNA (tRNA) molecules are approximately 80 nucleotides in length. Their secondary structure includes four short double-helical elements and three loops (D, anti-codon, and T loops). Further hydrogen bonds mediate the characteristic L-shaped molecular structure. tRNAs have two regions of fundamental functional importance: the anti-codon, which is responsible for specific mRNA codon recognition, and the 3' end, to which the tRNAs corresponding amino acid is attached (by aminoacyl-tRNA synthetases). tRNAs cope with the degeneracy of the genetic code in two manners: having more than one tRNA (with a specific anti-codon) for a particular amino acid; and 'wobble' base-pairing, i.e. permitting non-standard base-pairing at the 3rd anti-codon position.
Source: Rfam by way of RNAcentral